Molecule: transfer RNA, 73 nt
Filed under: marine sediment metagenome
Description: tRNA-Asn
Rfam family: tRNA
About the family: Transfer RNA (tRNA) molecules are approximately 80 nucleotides in length. Their secondary structure includes four short double-helical elements and three loops (D, anti-codon, and T loops).
Source: RNAcentral
UGGCGUGUAGCUUAGUUGGUAAAGCAGUCGGCCGUUAACCGACAGAUCGCAGGUUCAAAUCCUGCUUCGCCAG